AGGCCAAGCAAUCAGAAGAAGGUUUUUUGCGAAAGAUUAUGUUUAGUUUUGAGCGUAGUAGCUCAAAAGAG
RNAcentral lists this ribosomal RNA (71 nucleotides) under Lactobacillus acidophilus. The record is from RNAcentral. Lineage: Bacteria; Bacillati; Bacillota; Bacilli; Lactobacillales; Lactobacillaceae.